AAGAAGACCAUUUUUCAGUUUUUAGAUACAAUUUUUGAGUCUUUAUCUUAUUUGAAAUUUUUUUGCGAUUAAUAUUUGUUACUAGAUGAUAAAAUAUAAAUAGUACUUUAUACAUGACUAAUAUUUUUAAUUUUUUAAGUUUUUUACAAAUUUUUCAAAUAAGAUGAAUGGUGAAACGUUGGAUACGUAAAAAC
This 194-nucleotide microRNA precursor is filed under the name Oryza brachyantha (malo sina). Its description in RNAcentral is "MIR812 microRNA precursor family". It matches the Rfam family "MIR812 microRNA precursor family". Lineage: Eukaryota; Viridiplantae; Streptophyta; Magnoliopsida; Poales; Poaceae. The record is from Rfam by way of RNAcentral.